GCGACCCCAGGUCAGGCGGGGCU
RNAcentral lists this ribosomal RNA (23 nucleotides) under Chenopodium album (lamb's quarters). RNAcentral describes it as "partial 26S ribosomal RNA". The record is from RNAcentral. RNAcentral also lists the same sequence under 1 other name. Lineage: Eukaryota; Viridiplantae; Streptophyta; Magnoliopsida; Caryophyllales; Amaranthaceae.